RNAcentral lists this ribosomal RNA (1074 nucleotides) under human gut metagenome. Its description in RNAcentral is "bacterial LSU rRNA". It matches the Rfam family "Bacterial large subunit ribosomal RNA", at positions 1138 to 2196 of the family's 2925-position model. The record is from RNAcentral.
UAGCUCACUAGUCGAGUCGGCCUGCGCGGAAGAUGUAACGGGGCUCAAAUAUAGCACCGAAGCUGCGGCAUCAGUAGCAAUACUGUUGGGUAGGGGAGCGUUCUGUAAGCGGAUGAAGGUGAAUCGAGAGGUUUGCUGGACGUAUCAGAAGUGCGAAUGCUGACAUAAGUAACGAUAAAACGGGUGAAAAACCCGUUCGCCGGAAGACCAAGGGUUCCUGUCCAACGUUAAUCGGGGCAGGGUGAGUCGGCCCCUAAGGCGAGGCUGAAAAGCGUAGUCGAUGGGAAACGGGUUAAUAUUCCCGUACUUGGAUAAACUGCGAUGUGGGGACGGAGCAGGUUAGGUUAUCGCACUGUUGGAUAUGUGCGUUUAAGUUGGUAGGUGAGAAGUUUAGGCAAAUCCGGACUUCUUUAACACUGAGAGAUGAUGACGAGGCUCUACGGAGCUGAAGUAACCGAUACCACACUUCCAGGAAAAGCCACUAAGCUUCAGGUUUAUCUAAACCGUACUGAAAACCGACACAGGUGGUCAGGUAGAGAAUACUCAGGCGCUUGAGAGAACUCGGGUGAAGGAACUAGGCAAAAUAGCACCGUAACUUCGGGAGAAGGUGCGCCGGCGUAGAUUGUAGUCCCUUGCGGGCGAAGGUUGAACCGGUCGAAGAUACCAGCUGGCUGCAACUGUUUAUUAAAAACACAGCACUCUGCAAACACGAAAGUGGACGUAUAGGGUGUGAUGCCUGCCCGGUGCUGGAAGGUUAAUUGAUGGUGUAAUCGAAAGAGAAGCUCCUGAUCGAAGCCCCAGUAAACGGCGGCCGUAACUAUAACGGUCCUAAGGUAGCGAAAUUCCUUGUCGGGUAAGUUCCGACCUGCACGAAUGGCAUAAUGAUGGCCAGGCUGUCUCCACCCGAGACUCAGUGAAAUUGAAAUCGCCGUGAAGAUGCGGUGUACCCGCGGCUAGACGGAAAGACCCCGUGAACCUUUACUAUAGCUUGACACUGAACAUUGAAUUUUGAUGUGUAGGAUAGGUGGGAGACUAUGAAGAUGAUACGCCAGUAUUGUUGGAGUCGUCCUUGAA